RNAcentral lists this ribosomal RNA (1018 nucleotides) under Pieris melete. RNAcentral's name for it is "SSU rRNA". It matches the Rfam family "Eukaryotic small subunit ribosomal RNA", at positions 44 to 998 of the family's 1831-position model. Lineage: Eukaryota; Metazoa; Arthropoda; Insecta; Lepidoptera; Pieridae. The record is from RNAcentral.
AUUAGCCAUGCAUGUCUCAGUGCAAGCCGUAUUAAGGCGAUACCGCGAAUGGCUCAAUAUAUCAGUUUUGGUUCCUUAGAUCUUACUCAGUUACUUGGAUAACUGUGGUAAUUCUAGAGCUAAUACAUGCAAUCAGAACUCUGACCAGUGAUGGGAUGAGUGCUUUUAUUAGAUCAAAACCAAUCGGCGGAGGGCCUAGCGUCCGAAGUCGUUAAUUUUGAUGAAUCUGGAUAACUUUUGCCGAUCGCACGGUCCAGUACCGGCGACGCAUCUUUCAAAUGUCUGCCUUAUCAACUUUCGAUGGUAGUUUCUGCGACUACCAUGGUUGUCACGGGUAACGGGGAAUCAGGGUUCGAUUCCGGAGAGGGAGCCUGAGAAACGGCUACCACAUCCAAGGAAGGCAGCAGGCGCGCAAAUUACCCACUCCCGGCACGGGGAGGUAGUGACGAAAAAUAACGAUACGGGACUCUUACGAGGCCUCGUAAUCGGAAUGAGUACACUUUAAAUAUUUUAACGAGGAACAAUUGGAGGGCAAGUCUGGUGCCAGCAGCCGCGGUAAUUCCAGCUCCAAUAGCGUAUACUAAAAUUGUUGCGGUUAAAAAGCUCGUAGUUGCAUUUGUGCGCCGCGCUGUCGGUGCACCGCAUCCGCGGUGAUACUGACACGUCUGCGGAGCAUAUCGUCGGUGAGCCGGCGGUAAAACGCCGGUUCAAUAUCAAAAUCCUAUCGCGGUGCUCUUCGGUGAGUGUCGAGGUGGGCCGACAAUUUUACUUUGAACAAAUUAGAGUGCUCAAAGCGGGCUCAAAAUGCCGCUUGAAUAUUUCGUGCAUGGAAUAAUAGAAUAUGAUCUCGGUUCUAUUUUGUUGGUUUUCAGAACUCCGAGGUAAUGAUUAAUAGGGAUAACUGGGGGCAUUCGUAUUGCGACGUUAGAGGUGAAAUUCUUGGAUCGUCGCAAGACGAACAUCAGCGAAAGCAUUUGCCAAAGGUGUUUUCAUCAAUCAAGAACGAAAGUUAGAGGUU